GUGCGUGGCGGCGGCUACACAUGCAGUCGAGCGGUACAGAGAGAAGCUUGCUUCUUUGCUGACGAGCGGCGGACGGGUGAGUAACGCGUAGGAAUCUACCGAUUAGUGGGGGAUAGCCCAGGGAAACUUGGAUUAAUACCGCAUACGCCCUAUGGGGGAAAGAUGGCCUCUUCUUGAAAGCUAUCGCUAUUGGAGGAGCCUGCGUUGGAUUAGCUAGUUGGUGGGGUAAAGGCCUACCAAGGCGACGAUCCAUAGCUGGUCUGAGAGGACGAUCAGCCACACUGGGACUGAGACACGGCCCAGACUCCUACGGGAGGCAGCAGUCGGGAAUAUUGGACAAUGGGCGCAAGCCUGAUCCAGCCAUGCCGCGUGUGUGAAGAAGGCCUUAGGGUUGUAAAGCACUUUCAGAAGUGAAGAAAGGCGUUGGGUGAAUAAUCUGACGUUUUGACGUUAGCUUCAGAAGAAGCACCGGCUAACUCCGUGCCAGCAGCCGCGGUAAUACGGAGGGUGCGAACGUUAAUCGGAAUUACUGGGCGUAAAGCGCGCGUAGGCGGCUUGUUAAGUCAGAUGUGACAGCCCGGGCUCAACCUGGGAAUUGCCUUUGAACCUGGCAAGCUAGAGUGGCGUAGAGGGAGGGGGAAUUCCAGUGGUACCGGGAAAUGCGGUAAAUUUUGGAAGGAACCCAGUGGCGAAGGGGGGCCCUUGGAAUUGCACUUGACGCUAAGGGUGCAAGCGUGGGGACAACCGGAUAGAUCCCGGGAU
RNAcentral lists this ribosomal RNA (762 nucleotides) under uncultured Pseudomonadota bacterium. RNAcentral describes it as "bacterial SSU rRNA". It matches the Rfam family "Bacterial small subunit ribosomal RNA", at positions 31 to 792 of the family's 1533-position model. The record is from RNAcentral. Lineage: Bacteria; Pseudomonadati; Pseudomonadota.